GGAUAGCCCGGCGAAAGCCGGAUUAAUACCGCAUACGCUCUACGGAGGAAAGGGGGGGAUCGCAAGACCUCUCGCUCAAGGGGCGGCCGAUGGCAGAUUAGCUAGUUGGUGGGGUAAAGGCCUACCAAGGCGACGAUCUGUAGCUGGUCUGAGAGGACGACCAGCCACACUGGGACUGAGACACGGCCCAGACUCCUACGGGAGGCAGCAGUGGGGAAUUUUGGACAAUGGGCGCAAGCCUGAUCCAGCAAUGCCGCGUGUGUGAAGAAGGCCUUCGGGUUGUAAAGCACUUUUGUCCGGAAAGAAAACGUCGUGGUUAAUACCC
Molecule: ribosomal RNA, 325 nt
Filed under: uncultured bacterium
Lineage: Bacteria
Description: bacterial SSU rRNA
Rfam family: Bacterial small subunit ribosomal RNA
Source: RNAcentral